GACGAACGCUGGCGGCGUGCCUAAUACAUGCAAGUAGAACGCACAGUUUAUACCGUAGCUUGCUACACCAUAGACUGUGAGUUGCGAACGGGUGAGUAACGCGUAGGUAACCUGCCUGGUAGCGGGGGAUAACUAUUGGAAACGAUAGCUAAUACCGCAUAAUAUUAAUUAUUGCAUGAUAAUUAAUUGAAAGGUGCAAUUGCACCACUACCAGAUGGACCUGCGUUGUAUUAGCUAGUAGGUGAGGUAACGGCUCACCUAGGCGACGAUACAUAGCCGACCUGAGAGGGUGAUCGGCCACACUGGGACUGAGACACGGCCCAGACUCCUACGGGAGGCAGCAGUAGGGAAUCUUCGGCAAUGGACGAAAGUCUGACCGAGCAACGCCGCGUGAGGGAAGAAGGUUGUCGGAUCGUAAAGCUCUGUUGUAAGAGAAGAACGGGUGUGAGAGUGGAAAGUUCACACUGUGACGGUAUCUUACCAGAAAGGAACGGCUAACUACGUG
Molecule: ribosomal RNA, 505 nt
Filed under: uncultured bacterium
Lineage: Bacteria
Description: partial 16S ribosomal RNA
Rfam family: Bacterial small subunit ribosomal RNA
Source: RNAcentral